This 862-nucleotide ribosomal RNA is filed under the name uncultured bacterium. RNAcentral describes it as "bacterial SSU rRNA". It matches the Rfam family "Bacterial small subunit ribosomal RNA", at positions 28 to 896 of the family's 1533-position model. The record is from RNAcentral.
AACGAACGUUGUCGGCGUGGAUUAGGCAUGCAAGUCGAACGAAUCCCCAGGGGCUUGCUCUUGGGGGGAAGUGGCGAAAGGGGCAGUAAGGCGUGGGUAACCUACCCCGGGGAUCGGGAUAGCCUUCCUAACGGAUGGGUAAUACCGGGCGAUGUAAGCGAGGGACAUCUCUUGCUUACGAAAUGAGUUUCGCCUCGGGAGGGGCUCACGUGCUAUUACCUAGUUGGUGAGGUAACGGCUCACCAAGGGAAAGAUGGCUAGCGGGUGUGAGAGCACGACCCGCGCCACUGGCACUGCGACACUGGCCAGACUCCUACGGGAGGCUGCAGUCGAGGAUCUUCGGCAAUGGGCGCAAGCCUGACCGAGCGACGCCGCGUGCGCGAUGAAGGCCUUCGGGUUGUAAAGCGCUGUCGAGGGGGAGGAAAGCCGCAAGGUCUGACCUAUCCCUGGAGGAAGCACGGGCUAAGUUCGUGCCAGCAGCCGCGGUAAGACGAACCGUGCGAACGUUGUUCGGAAUCACUGGGCUUAAAGGGCGCGUAGGCGGACUGCCAAGUCCGGGGUGAAAUCGUUCGGCCUAACCGAACAAUGGCCUUGGAUACUGGCGGUCUCGAGCGAGGUAGGGGCAGCUGGAACUUCCGGUGGAGCGGUGAAAUGCGUUGAUAUCGGAAGGAACGCCGGUGGCGAAAGCGAGCUGCUGGACCUUUUCUGACGCUGAGGCGCGAAAGCCAGGGGAGCAAACGGGAUUAGAUACCCCGGUAGUCCUGGCCCUAAACGAUGGGUACUAGGUAGUGGACUAGACAUGGGUUCACUGCCGAAGCCAAAGUGCUAAGUACCCCGCCUGGGGAGUAUGGUCGCAAGGCUG